Molecule: transfer RNA, 18 nt
Filed under: Radula amentulosa
Lineage: Eukaryota; Viridiplantae; Streptophyta; Jungermanniopsida; Radulales; Radulaceae
Description: partial tRNA-Gly
Source: RNAcentral
CUAGCCUUCCAAGCUAAC